Misgurnus anguillicaudatus (oriental weatherfish) is the source of this 1229-nucleotide non-coding RNA. The record is from RefSeq and is a predicted model, not a curated record. NCBI's taxonomy places the organism in Eukaryota, Metazoa, Chordata, Actinopteri, Cypriniformes, Cobitidae.
UAGAAGCCCAAGAGGCGAAGCUCUGUUUUGUUAUGGGUAACAGUCAGUAGAUGGCGCUGCGGAGCCACGGCCGCCAUUAGGGACUGAAAGCACAACUGUGAAGAUGUGCAAAGUGGUCGAAACGCAAGCAGUGUUCUGCAAUAAAUUGCAAAAAUUAUCAGUCCACCAGAAGCGAUUUGGCAUUUCAUCGGUUUCCAAAGGAUGCACAAAGGUGGGUCCAGAAUCUAAGGAAUGCAUCCCUUCAUGGCAUACCUUUGGAUCAGCUGCAUCGGACCUACAGGGUGUGCAGUGCCCAUUUCCACAGCAGCCAGUUCAAAAGACCAUCUGAUGUCCAUGGUGGGCUGAACUGGGAUGCUGUGCCCACAAGAAUACAGGCCCCUAACCCACCUCCCCCACUAGAUGUCGAGAGGAAGCGUAAACCUCCGAAGACACGCCAGGAGUUGCCACGUAAAAAACGCAAGCAGAGUCAAGUUCCUCCUCCCUCCAAAGACCAGCAUACCGGGGAAGCUGUAGCGGGGCCUUCAUCACGGGCGCACUACACUGAGGAAGCUGUAGCGGGGCCUUCAUCACGGGCGCACUACACUGAGGAAGCUGUAGCGGGGCCUUCAUCAAUCAGUUAUUGUUCAUUUUUAGAAAUCUAUACAAAACUUGAACUGGCUAGUAGCUGACUAAUGCUUCCAUUCUAUGGCAGUGCCUCUUCUCUCACAAAAAGAAAAAAAUACAACAAAACUUAAAUGCUCACACAAUAGAUGGUGGUGUCUGAUUAAUUACUGAGAUCUUAUGGCUCCAUUUUAGUACUGUUUAUAGUUCAUGUGUGCACUUGCUAGAUUGCACAUCUUUUUUGUACCUUUCCGCCUGUAAUAGGACAUUCACAGAUUGUUUUUGUUCUUGCCAUUGAAACGUUCACUGUGUGCACUUUCACUGAAGAUGUUGAAAAACUUGUUAAUAUUUUUGUGAUCUUCUAUGUAAAAGAUUAACUCUUGUGAAAUGUUCAUUUAUAAUUUUAUUUAUUUAUUUUUCCAAAUCAUAUAUAUGGUGAUGUUCAAUCAUUUCAAAAUCAACAUUUGAAUAAAUAUGUUAUUACUGUGUGUCUGCCUAUAUAUUAUUUCAUGAAUUUCUGUUAUUCAUAUAACAAGGAAAAUGCAUAAUAGAACAUAAAUAUUGGUAGAUUAAAGGUUUACAGUAAUUUUAUAAUUGUAUCUUUGCAAACCGUAAGUGGUAGGCUAAUG